UGAAACACUGGAGAGAUAUAUGGUCAUGCACAGUCUGAGAGGUAGAACUAAAGUGAAGACGAGCACUUGCAGACAGGGAGAUUUGCACCAGCAUCUCUGCAAGUCCACUGAGA
This 113-nucleotide long non-coding RNA is filed under the name Anser brachyrhynchus (Pink-footed goose). RNAcentral's name for it is "lncRNA (ENSABRG00000018127.1)". The record is from RNAcentral. Lineage: Eukaryota; Metazoa; Chordata; Aves; Anseriformes; Anatidae.